AUGCCAGAAUCAGCAAUGAGAGAACAGAGAGGUAUAAAUCACAAUGUUCUUGCCCUUGAGGAAGGUGUCUGGUAUCUAGGCAGAAAAAGUAUACCAAUGCAAUUCUCACAGAUGGGAGCAGAGAAAGCCAGAAUGCCAGCACAUUCCAUGGAGGAAAAACUAGGGACAGGUGAUCAAAGCCUGCCAUCUCUCCAUGAUAAUGAGAAAGCAGCACGGAGGGCCAGUUCAAGACAGACCACAGGUCCGCAGAUGGGCAGGAGCAGCAUGCCUCUGUCUUGCAUGGAGCCAGUCAACUGCAGACCCAGAGCCCUUCAGUAGCUUCCUGCCUCCUUCCAAGUCAUGGAGACUUACUGACUUCAGAGUGAUUCCGUAAAACUAUUCUGAAGUCAAUGAACCUAAGGGUCUAAAUAGUCAAAUAACAGAGAAGGUUCUGUAAGUGGUUCUUUGCCAUGUGCUUCAAGAGAUAAUAAGACAUCAGUCUUCAGAUGGUUUCCCAAUGACCUAGCAUGGUAUGUCUGCAGUAUCUCCAUCAUACAUGAGUGGCAGCCUCUCUGAAGACUAGACUGGAAAGCAAAGGUUAAGAAGAUCACAUCAGGAGCCAAACAUUCUUGGAAGCUGAUGCUUCUCUACAGACUAUUGAUAUUCAAAUCCCACCAAGUGUGUGCCCUAUUUUAACUGGACCACCUCAGUUAAUGAAUGCAUCUGUUAACUUAUUUAGGAGUGGGUUUUCUUUGAACUAUGACAGAUUCAAUUUCCCCCGAGGUGUACCAUUCCAAGAUCAAUGAAGACCUGUGACUUAUAUUUAUAUGCAAUUCAGUGGGAGAGAAAGGGAUUUGUGAAUUCUUGCGCCUAGGGAUAUAAUAUUAGCUACCUUCAACUCAUUAAUUAAUUAUUGCCAUUAAAUGAAUGCUUACUUCUUGCAGGAUACUAAUCUAAGUACCAGGGAAUUAAAUAGACAGAUAGAUGGGUACACAGAUAGAUAGAUACACACACACACACACACACACAACCAAUCUUGGUCUUCAACAGGUGCAAAUAAUCCUGCAAUCUUACAAGAGAUAAGGAUCAGACAAGGAAAGUGUAAGUGUGACACAAGAGCAAUAGGA
This 1106-nucleotide long non-coding RNA is filed under the name Felis catus (domestic cat). RNAcentral describes it as "lncRNA (ENSFCAG00000043155.2)". The record is from RNAcentral. Lineage: Eukaryota; Metazoa; Chordata; Mammalia; Carnivora; Felidae.